CCUGUCAAGAUAUUCCCCGGCCAUGCUCACACAAACUAUUCCAGUACCAUGCUUCACAAUAAAAGCCAUAGCUUCAGGUGUUGCCAACUCUGCUGCCAUGAUAACAUCCCCUUCAUUUUCUCUGUCUUCAUCAUCUACAACCACUACCAUCUUUCCUUGACGAAUAUCUUCAAUGGCCUCAGGGAUGGAGGAAAAACCUUCCGUGGGGCGAUCCAAAUCAAACUCAUCAUUAUCGAUGGGAAAAUCAUUGGGGAUGGGAGCAGUAUCUGCCCCAAGAGUUCCAAAUGCUAUUGCGUCAGGCUGUAAUUUA
Molecule: unclassified non-coding RNA, 310 nt
Filed under: Hevea brasiliensis (rubber tree)
Lineage: Eukaryota; Viridiplantae; Streptophyta; Magnoliopsida; Malpighiales; Euphorbiaceae
Source: RNAcentral